CAGGGGGGAAUAUUGGGCAAUGGAGGAAACUCUGACCCAGCGACGCCGCGUGAGGGAUGAAGGCCUUCGGGUUGUAAACCUCUUUCAGUAGGGAAGAAGCGAAAGUGACGGUACCUACAGAAGAAGCACCGGCUAACUAUGUGCCAGCAGCCGCGGUAAUACAUAGGGUGCAAGCGUUGUCCGGAAUUAUUGGGCGUAAAGAGCUCGUAGGUGGUUCGAUACGUCGGAUGUGAAAAUCAGGGGCUCAACCCCUGACCUGCAUCCGAUACGGUCGAGCUAGAGUUUGGUAGGGGAGACUGGAAUUCCUGGUGUAGCGGUGGAAUGCGCAGAUAUCAGGAGGAACACCGAUGGCGAAGGCAGGUCUCUGGGCCAAUACUGACACUGAGGAGCGAAAGCGUGGGGAGCGAACAGGAUUAGAUACCC
This 423-nucleotide ribosomal RNA is filed under the name actinobacterium SCGC AAA044-C05. RNAcentral describes it as "bacterial SSU rRNA". It matches the Rfam family "Bacterial small subunit ribosomal RNA", at positions 352 to 787 of the family's 1533-position model. Lineage: Bacteria; Bacillati; Actinomycetota; Actinomycetes. The record is from RNAcentral.